This 443-nucleotide long non-coding RNA is filed under the name Gorilla gorilla gorilla (western lowland gorilla). Its description in RNAcentral is "lncRNA (ENSGGOG00000044247.1)". The record is from RNAcentral. Lineage: Eukaryota; Metazoa; Chordata; Mammalia; Primates; Hominidae.
GCCAGGGGACUGGUUGGCUGAUUGUAGGAAAGGGCAUUGAAACAGAGGGGAUUAGGGUAUUGAGCUAUAUUAAAGAACAAUUGAAGAUGUUGAAUGUUAAAGAAAAAAAGUCCAGUCUUCAGAAAGACAGAGAAGGUUACUAAAAAGUUAACAGGAAGGGAUGAUGCCAUUAACAUAAAGGAAUACAGUCUCACAAAUAAACCAUCUCUUUUUGAGAUGUGGUGGAGAAACAACAUUCUCAGCUGUUCUUGCUCUUUUGCCUUCUGCUGACUUGUUGCAGAUGGAUACAGAGACUGGAAGCUACAGUUCAAGGUGACAGAGCCCAAAAAAGGUAGAGCUGGGGUCCUCCAACCACUGUUUGAAUGACAACUUCCUGCUUGAAAAUUUAUGUAAGCAAGAUAUCUACUUCUACUUGAGUGUGUGUGUGUGUUUGUAUAAAUAUA